GACGAACGCUGGCGGCGUGCUUAACACAUGCAAGUCGAACGGAAAGGCCCUGCUUUUGUGGGGUGCUCGAGUGGCGAACGGGUGAGUAACACGUGAGUAACCUGCCCUUGACUUUGGGAUAACUUCAGGAGACUGGGGCUAAUACCGGAUAGGAGCUCCUGCUGCAUGGUGGGGGUUGGAAAGUUUCGGCGGUUGGGGAUGGACUCGCGGCUUAUCAGCUUGUUGGUGGGGUAGUGGCUUACCAAGGCUUUGACGGGUAGCCGGCCUGAGAGGGUGACCGGCCACAUUGGGACUGAGAUACGGCCCAGACUCCUACGGGAGGCAGCAGUGGGGAAUAUUGCACAAUGGGCGGAAGCCUGAUGCAGCAACGCCGCGUGCGGGAUGACGACCUUCGGGUUGUAAACCGCUUUCGCCUGUGACGAAGCGUGAGUGACGGUAAUGGGUAAAGAAGCACCGGCUAACUACGUG
RNAcentral lists this ribosomal RNA (468 nucleotides) under uncultured bacterium. Its description in RNAcentral is "partial 16S ribosomal RNA". It matches the Rfam family "Bacterial small subunit ribosomal RNA", at positions 28 to 507 of the family's 1533-position model. The record is from RNAcentral.